Molecule: ribosomal RNA, 700 nt
Filed under: Halomonas elongata
Lineage: Bacteria; Pseudomonadati; Pseudomonadota; Gammaproteobacteria; Oceanospirillales; Halomonadaceae
Description: bacterial SSU rRNA
Rfam family: Bacterial small subunit ribosomal RNA
Source: RNAcentral
UGCCCGGUAGUUGGGGUAAACUUGAGGAAACUCAGAGCUAAUACCGCAUACGCCCUACGUACGCAAGCAGGGGCUCUUCGGACCUUGCGCUAUCGGAUUAGCUUAUGUCGGAUUAGCUGGUUGGUGAGGUAACGGCUCACCAAGGCUACGAUCCGUAGCUGGUCUGAGAGGAUGAUCAGCCACAUCGGGACUGAGACAGGUCCCGAACUCCUACGGAAGGCAGCAGUGGGGAAUAUUGGACAAUGGGGGCAACCCUGAUCCAGCCAUGCCGCGAGUGUCAAGAAGGCCCUCGGGUUGUAAAGCACUUUCAGCGAGGAAUAACGCCUGUCGGUUAAUACCCGGCAGGGGCGACAUCACUCGCAGAAGAAGCACCGACUAACUCCGUGCCAGCAGCCGCGGUAAUACGGAGAGUGCGAGCGUUAAUCGGAAUUACUGGACGUAUAGCGUGCGUAGGCCGCUUGAUAAGCCGGUUGUGACAGCCCCGGGAUCAACCUGUGAACGGCAUCCGGAACUGUCAGGCUAGAGUGCUUGAGAUGCAGGUAGAAUUCCCGGUGUAGCGGUGAAAUGCGUAAAGAUCGUGAAGAAUACCAGUAGCGAAAGCGGCCUUCUGGACUGUCACUGACGCUGAUGAACCUAAGCGUGGAUAGCAAACGGGAUUAGAUGCCCUGGUAGCCCACGUCGUAAACGAUGUCGACUAGCC